CCCUUAGAUGUCCUGGGCUGCACGCGCGCUACACUGAUGUGUCCAGUAAGCACCUAACCUAUUCCGAGAGGAGCGGGUAACCUUAGCAAAGCACAUCGUGAUGGGGAUAGAUUAUUGCAAUUAUUAGUCUUGAACGAGGAAUUCCUAGUAAGCACAAGUCAUCAGCUUGUGUUGAUUACGUCCCUGCCCUUUGUACACACCGCCCGUCGCUCCUACCGAUUGAAUGUUCCGGUGAGCUCUUCGGACUGCGCGGUCUGCAGUUUCUGCGUUCCGUGCGGAAAGUUGUGCAAACCUUAACAUUUAGAGGAAGGAGGAGUCGUAACA
This 324-nucleotide ribosomal RNA is filed under the name uncultured eukaryote. RNAcentral describes it as "partial 18S ribosomal RNA". It matches the Rfam family "Eukaryotic small subunit ribosomal RNA", at positions 1470 to 1796 of the family's 1831-position model. The record is from RNAcentral.